GGAUGAACGCUGACAGAAUGCUUAACACAUGCAAGUCGAUGGGGAAGUGGUGCUUGCACCAUGGUAACCAUGGCGGACGGGUGAGUAACGCGUAAGGAACUUGCCUGCGGGACUGGGAUAACAGCAGGAAACUGCUGAUAAUACCGGAUAAGGUCAUUAAGCUGCAUAGCUUAGUGAUGAAAGGAGACGCCUGCGGAGAGCCUUGCGUCCUAUUAGCUAGUUGGAGGGGUAACGGCCCACCAAGGCGAAGAUAGGUAGCCGGCCUGAGAGGGUGGACGGCCACAAGGGGACUGAGAUACGGCCCUUACUCCUACGGGAGGCAGCAGUGGGGAAUAUUGGACAAUGGGGGCAACCCUGAUCCAGCAAUUCUGUGUGCACGAAGACGGUUUUCGGAUUGUAAAGUGCUUUCAGCAGGGAAGAAGGAAGUGACGGUACCUGCAGAAGAAGCGACGGCUAAAUACGU
This 463-nucleotide ribosomal RNA is filed under the name uncultured bacterium. RNAcentral describes it as "partial 16S ribosomal RNA". It matches the Rfam family "Bacterial small subunit ribosomal RNA", at positions 27 to 506 of the family's 1533-position model. The record is from RNAcentral.